UCCUCGAUAGCUCAGUUGGUAGAGCAAGGGACUGUUAAUCCCUGGGUCGUAGGUUCGAGUCCUACUCGAGGAGCCA
This 76-nucleotide transfer RNA is filed under the name Plastoroseomonas arctica. Its description in RNAcentral is "tRNA-Asn". It matches the Rfam family "tRNA". Rfam says of the family: Transfer RNA (tRNA) molecules are approximately 80 nucleotides in length. Their secondary structure includes four short double-helical elements and three loops (D, anti-codon, and T loops). The record is from RNAcentral. RNAcentral also lists the same sequence under 1 other name. Lineage: Bacteria; Pseudomonadati; Pseudomonadota; Alphaproteobacteria; Acetobacterales; Acetobacteraceae.